This 766-nucleotide ribosomal RNA is filed under the name Salmonella enterica. RNAcentral's name for it is "partial 23S ribosomal RNA". It matches the Rfam family "Bacterial large subunit ribosomal RNA", at positions 561 to 1327 of the family's 2925-position model. Lineage: Bacteria; Pseudomonadati; Pseudomonadota; Gammaproteobacteria; Enterobacterales; Enterobacteriaceae. The record is from RNAcentral.
UACGUACAAGCAGUGGGAGCACCCUUCGGGGUGUGACUGCGUACCUUUUGUAUAAUGGGUCAGCGACUUAUAUUCUGUAGCAAGGUUAACCGAAUAGGGGAGCCGGAGGGAAACCGAGUCUUAACCGGGCGUUAAGUUGCAGGGUAUAGACCCGAAACCCGGUGAUCUAGCCAUGGGCAGGUUGAAGGUUGGGUAACACUAACUGGAGGACCGAACCGACUAAUGUUGAAAAAUUAGCGGAUGACCUGUGGCUGGGGGUGAAAGGCCAAUCAAACCGGGAGAUAGCUGGUUCUCCCCGAAAGCUAUUUAGGUAGCGCCUCGUGAAUUCAUCUCCGGGGGUAGAGCACUGUUUCGGCUAGGGGGCCAUCCCGGCUUACCAACCCGAUGCAAACUGCGAAUACCGGAGAAUGUUAUCACGGGAGACACACGGCGGGUGCUAACGUCCGUCGUGAAGAGGGAAACAACCCAGACCGCCAGCUAAGGUCCCAAAGUCAUGGUUAAGUGGGAAACGAUGUGGGAAGGCCCAGACAGCCAGGAUGUUGGCUUAGAAGCAGCCAUCAUUUAAAGAAAGCGUAAUAGCUCACUGGUCGAGUCGGCCUGCGCGGAAGAUGUAACGGGGCUAAACCAUGCACCGAAGCUGCGGCAGCGACACUGUGUGUUGUUGGGUAGGGGAGCGUUCUGUAAGCCUGUGAAGGUGUGUCGUGAGGCAUGCUGGAGGUAUCAGAAGUGCGAAUGCUGACAUAAGUAAAGAUAAAGCGGGUGAAAA